AGAGUUUGAUCCUGGCUCAGGAUGAACGCUAGCUACAGGCUUAACACAUGCAAGUCGAGGGGCAGCAUGACUGAAGCUUGCUUCAGUUGAUGGCGACCGGCGUACGGGUGCGUAACGCGUAUCCAACCUGCCCUCUACUCCGGAACAGCCCGUCGAAAGGCGGAUUAAUGCCGGAUGGUGUCCACUUGGUGCAUGCCAUGGUGGACUAAAGGUAACGGUAGAGGAUGGGGAUGCGACUGAUUAGGUAGACGGCGGGGUAACGGCCCACCGUGCCGACGAUCAGUAGGGGUUCUGAGAGGAAGGUCCCCCACACUGGAACUGAGACACGGUCCAGACUCCUACGGGAGGCAGCAGUGAGGAAUAUUGGUCAAUGGGCGAGAGCCUGAACCAGCCAAGUAGCGUGAGGGAUGACUGCCCUAUGGGUUGUAAACCUCUUUUGAUUGGGAACAAAGAGCGCCACGUGUGGUGCGUUGCGUGUACCUUUCGAAUAAGCAUCGGCUAAUUCCGUGCCAGCAGCCGCGGUAAUACGGAAGAUGCGAGCGUUAUCCGGAUUUAUUGGGUUUAAAGGGAGCGUAGGCGGGCUGUUAAGUCAGCGGUCAAAUGUCAGGGCCCAACCUUGGCAUGCCGUUGAUACUGGCGGCCUUGAGUUCACACAAGGAAGGUGGAAUUCGUCGUGUAGCGGUGAAAUGCUUAGAUAUGACGAAGAACUCCGAUUGCGAAGGCAGCCUUCUGGGGUGUUACUGACGCUGAGGCUCGAAAGUGCGGGAAUCAAACAGGAUUAGAUACCCUGGUAGUCCGCACCGUAAACGAUGAGCGCCCGUCAUUGGCGACAGACAGUCAGUGACCAAGGGAAACCGUUAAGCGCUC
RNAcentral lists this ribosomal RNA (867 nucleotides) under wastewater metagenome. RNAcentral's name for it is "bacterial SSU rRNA". It matches the Rfam family "Bacterial small subunit ribosomal RNA", at positions 8 to 869 of the family's 1533-position model. The record is from RNAcentral.